This 615-nucleotide long non-coding RNA is filed under the name Ananas comosus (pineapple). Its description in RNAcentral is "long non-coding RNA (ACOM_LNC044663)". The record is from RNAcentral. Lineage: Eukaryota; Viridiplantae; Streptophyta; Magnoliopsida; Poales; Bromeliaceae.
UUUUUUUAGAAAAAAAAGAAAGAGAGAACAUAGGUUAGAGAGAGAGAGCAUAAUUAAAAAAAUAAGAAGAGAAAUAGAGUUGAGAUUAGAAAGAGUGAGAGAGUUGAGAUUUUAGAAAAAGAGAGAGAGAGAGAGAGAGCUUAGUUUAGAGAGAGAAAAAGAGUUGAAGUUUAGAGAGAAAAAAAUAAGUUUAGAGAGAGAUAUGAGGUUAGAGUGUAAAGAAAUAUAAUACCAACUAACCGACGGGUAGGAAGAAAGAAAGAGAUUAGACAUAUUAUGAUUACCCAAUCCAUUAAUAUGAGGAUACCCACCCUCCCUUAAGGGGAUGAGAUUAGCACUUUGGAUGAAUUUCAUUCCCAAGUAAAUCUAAUAUUACCAACUAGAUUACUUAGUGCGUUUAGCCAAACACCGUCAUAUUUUUUUAUUCCUAUCGAAUUACUAGAAAUCUUAAAAAGAUAGCGCAAACCAAACGCGCCAUAUAUAUAUAUAUAUAUAUAUAUAUAUAUAUAUAUAUAUAGAGUUGAGCUAAAAUACUCUCGAUAGUAAACGAAGCAUUUUACUAUCGAGUUGUUUUCGAUGAUAGAGCUUCCAAAUUGACGAUUGGCUCCGUUAAAU